GACGAACGCUGGCGGCGUGCUUAACACAUGCAAGUCGAGCGAGGCCCCUCCUUCGGGAGGGUGUCCUAGCGGCGAACGGGUGAGUAACACGUGGGCAACCUGCCCUCAGCUCUGGGAUAACUCCGGGAAACCGGGGCUAAUACCGGAUACGACCUCCACGGGCAUCUGCGGAGGUGGAAAGUUUUUCGGCUGAGGAUGGGCCCGCGGCCUAUCAGCGAGUUGGUGGGGUAGUGGCCCACCAAGGCGACGACGGGUAGCCGGCCUGAGAGGGCGACCGGCCACACUGGGACUGAGACACGGCCCAGACUCCUACGGGAGGCAGCAGUGGGGAAUAUUGCGCAAGGGGCGAAAGCCUGACGCAGCGACGCCGCGUGAGGGACGAAGGCCUUCGGGUUGUAAACCUCUUUCAGCAGGGACGAAGCGAAAGUGACGGUACCUGCAGAAGAAGCACCGGCCAACUACGUG
RNAcentral lists this ribosomal RNA (465 nucleotides) under uncultured bacterium. RNAcentral's name for it is "partial 16S ribosomal RNA". It matches the Rfam family "Bacterial small subunit ribosomal RNA", at positions 28 to 507 of the family's 1533-position model. The record is from RNAcentral.